GCAGCCGCGGUAAUACGGAGGAUGCGAGCGUUAUCCGGAUUUAUUGGGUUUAAAGGGUGCGUAGGCGGGCUGUCAAGUCAGCGGUCAAAAGUCGGGGCUCAACCCCGUGAAGCCGUUGAAACUGGCAGCCUUGAGUGAGCGAGAAGCAGGCGGAAUGCGUGGUGUAGCGGUGAAAUGCAUAGAUAUCACGCAGAACCCCGAUUGCGAAGGCAGCCUGCCGGCGCUCAACUGACGCUGAGGCACGAAAGUGCGGGGAUCGAACAGGAUUAGAUACCCC
Molecule: ribosomal RNA, 277 nt
Filed under: uncultured Rikenellaceae bacterium
Lineage: Bacteria; Pseudomonadati; Bacteroidota; Bacteroidia; Bacteroidales; Rikenellaceae
Description: partial 16S ribosomal RNA
Rfam family: Bacterial small subunit ribosomal RNA
Source: RNAcentral